Molecule: long non-coding RNA, 304 nt
Organism: Dreissena polymorpha
Lineage: Eukaryota; Metazoa; Mollusca; Bivalvia; Myida; Dreissenidae
Exons: 3
Source: RefSeq, a predicted model, not a curated record
AAGACUGGAAAGGUUAAAAGGGAGAAACCUACCAUGACGAAAAAGAAGAACAAACUGGUCCCUUGCUACAAUUGCCCAAACUGCAGGGUGUGCUGUUCAUCUGAAGAUGCCCUGCUCGACUAUUUUAUAAGAAAGCAUUCAUCGUGGAAAGUUGAUAGGCCUGACACACUUUACAAUCAGGAAGAUGAAAUCAACGUGCCAUCAAACAUCCAUUGACACCGAGACACUGAAGAGACGCCCCAACAAGAUGACAACGCCGCAAAUGAAGAUCAAGCCAACGUGCCAUCCCACUUCUUUUUCCAAC